Molecule: unclassified non-coding RNA, 181 nt
Filed under: fungal sp.
Lineage: Eukaryota; Fungi
Description: partial internal transcribed spacer region
Rfam family: Eukaryotic small subunit ribosomal RNA (bases 1-46)
Source: RNAcentral
AAGUCGUAACAAGGUUUCCGUAGGUGAACCUGCGGAAGGAUCAUUACCAAAUAUCUGUGAGUGCUUUACAGCGCUACACAUUAGUGCUUGCACCGUGGUGCAUUGCAUAAACGCUUUAUUGUAUUAUUAUAAAUGACACUUUAACUAAAGAUCACUUUUAACAAUGGAUCUCUAGGCUCUU